GCGCAGCAGUCGCGAAAACUCCGCAAUGCGCGAAAGCGUGACGGGGCCAUCCCGAGUGCCGUCCGCUGAGGAUGGCUUUUCCCUAGUGUAGAUAGCUGGGGGAAUAAGGGGAGGGCAAGUCUGGUGUCAGCCGCCGCGGUAAUACCAGCUCUUCGAGUGGUGGGGAUGUUUAUUGGGCCUGAAGCAUCCGUAGCCGGCUGGGCAAGUCCUCCGUUAAAUCCAGCGAUUCAAUCGUUGGAUUGCGAGGGAUACUGUUCGGCUAGGGGGCGAGAGAGGCGAGCGGUAUUCCCGGGGUAGGGGUGAAAUCCUGUAAUCCCGGGAGGACCACCAGUGGCGAAGGCGGUUGGCUAGAACACACCCGACGGUGAGGGACGAAAGCUGGGGGAGCGAACCGGAUUAGAUACCCGGGUAGUCC
Molecule: ribosomal RNA, 415 nt
Filed under: uncultured crenarchaeote
Lineage: Archaea; Thermoproteati; Thermoproteota
Description: partial 16S ribosomal RNA
Rfam family: Archaeal small subunit ribosomal RNA
Source: RNAcentral